Molecule: ribosomal RNA, 253 nt
Filed under: uncultured bacterium
Lineage: Bacteria
Description: partial 16S ribosomal RNA
Rfam family: Bacterial small subunit ribosomal RNA
Source: RNAcentral
UACGUAGGGUGCGAGCGUUAAUCGGAAUUACUGGGCGUAAAGCGUGCGCAGGCGGUUUUGUAAGCCGGAUGUGAAAUCCCCGGGCUUAACCUGGGAAUGGCAUUUGGGACUGCAAGGCUGGAGUGCGGCAGAGGAAACUGGAAUUCCUGGUGUAGCAGUGAAAUGCGUAGAUAUCAGGAGGAACACCGAUGGCGAAGGCAGGUCUCUGGGCUGACACUGACGCUCAUGCACGAAAGCGUGGGGAGCAAACAGG